ACCUCCCGGGCUAAUGGCGCUUGCUGCCUGGCACACAGCAGGUGACUACACUGCAUGGCUUAUAAAUGUGGCCUCUGCCAGGAAAUCCUGGGAAAGAGCCAGGGAGGUGACGUUUUAUCCACGAGCCUGCUAUGGCUUAGCCUAGCCCUCCCCUAACUGUGACCAAGCUCUGGAUGAGACACAGACAACUACUGAGGACCUGCAAAGUAAGGAGACUGCAGGGCGGAGGCGGAACUUGGAGGAGUGACCUGCCGUGGAGUUUCUGGUUUCCUCCUUGUGGCUUUGUCUGGAGGGCAAGCCCCACUCUCAGAUCCACAUGGCAACACAAGCAGCUAAAACGCAGAUAGAAACCCCAACCUGGGAAAAGGAGUCCUACAGCAGAAUGGAGACAAAGGAAAGCCAGCGAACGUGAAGACAGAUAAAUAGAAAAUAUCCACUCCGAAGAACGAAGAUAAAGAGGAAAAACAAGAACAAGCAUCACGGGCCAGCUGGGGUCGUAUCGAAAGGCCCAGCACAUACCUGGUUCCAGAAAGCAAGGAGGAGGUUGGGGCAGAAAGUUAUUUGAAGGAAUAUUGGCUGAAACAUCCCAAGUCUGGUGAAAUACAUAAAUGUAAGCAUUCAAGAAGCUCAGUGAACCCCAAAGAAGAUAAACAGAAAGGAAAAUAGACCCAGACAUAGCAUCAUCAAAUUGCUGAAAACUGAAGAAAACAUCUGGAAAGCAGCUAGAGAAAAACAACACAUUUCGUACACAAAAGCAGUGACUCCAGUGACUACAGAAUUCUUGCCAGAAACCACGGCAGCCAGGAGACAGCAGAACGAUGUCUUUAAUGCAUGAAAGGAAAGGUUUCUCCUUGCAAGGUGUUUGUUCAUUUCUUCCAAGUUGUGGAAUAUAUGGGCAGAAGAUUGGACACCAUCCCCCUCGACUCUUUUUUCCCAUCUGUAGGGUCUGCGGUGAUGUCCUUUUUAGCCUCCAUGUUUGUAAUGAGGGUCUCUUUGUUUUGGGGUCAGUCUGGCCAGCAGCUUAUCAAUUGUAUUGAUCUUUUCAAAGAAUCAGCUUGGGUUUCAUUUAUUUUCUCUAUUUUCUGUUUUUGUUUUUUGUUCAGCUGAUUUCCACCCUGAUCUUUAUUACCUUCUACUUUCCGCAUGCGUUUUGUAAUUUAUUUUUCCCUUACUAGUUUCUCCAGGUGAAAGCUCCUAUCAUAGUUGGCAAGGGUUUUCUGUAAAGGGCUAGAGAGUAAAUAUGUUUGGUUUUGUGAGCCACGUGGUGUCUGUUGCAACCACUCAACUGCUGUUGUAGCGUGAAAGCAGCAACAGAAAACACAUAAAAUACCAAGUUGUUCUCCAGCAUAACUUUAUUUUCAACAGCAAGAAGGGGCCAGACAUGGCCGGUGGGCUGUAGCUUGCUGGCUCUUGGCUUAGAGUGAUUUGUGAUCUCUUCCUUUUUUAUCGUUUCAGCAAUUACUGCUGUAAAAUCUAUCCUAAACACCAGUCAAUCUGCAUCCCACAAA
This 1508-nucleotide long non-coding RNA is filed under the name Homo sapiens (human). RNAcentral describes it as "long intergenic non-protein coding RNA 2970". The record is from RNAcentral. Lineage: Eukaryota; Metazoa; Chordata; Mammalia; Primates; Hominidae.